RNA transcript from Girardinichthys multiradiatus, 2794 nucleotides. It is a transcript of the gene named TAFA chemokine like family member 5a, with no coding region annotated. The record is from RefSeq and is a predicted model, not a curated record. The transcript is spliced from 6 exons. Lineage: Eukaryota; Metazoa; Chordata; Actinopteri; Cyprinodontiformes; Goodeidae.
AAUAUUGAAUGAUCCGAAUGUUUACUUUGAACACGAUCACUUAGAGUCGCACAUUGCGCUCUUUUCCUCUCCCACAGCCUCCGUCUCUCUACGCUUCCCUCCUUGUUUCCUACAGCUUUCACGGAAUGAUCUAAAUCCAUUCCAAGCCAAGACGGUUACCUUAAAGGAGUUUUUUUGACGGACAACCCUCUUGGGAUUUGAUUCUAUUCAGUUUGAUUAUUUUUCCUGACCCGGUGUUUGAGCUGAGGUGGUGGAGAACCGUGGAAAGAUACUACAGGUGAAUUGCGCUUUCACGACGCUGCGGUAGAGAUGAUUGAACAGUUUACGGGUUACACGAGUGCAGUCUGUGCCUAAUUAGACAGCAACCGAGUUUUUCUGGCACUUUGUGAUAACUGAAGCGGACCAAGUUAGGGUUUUGAACGUAUCAAAAGAAAAAAAAAAAAAUCUCCACUGGGUUUCCUAAAGGAUGAUAUGACCUUUUCUUUUGCGCAGUGGUGGCUGCUUUCCUAUCAGUUUGUUGGAUUUUUGUCAUGCCUUUUUGCAGGAUUUCACACGGAGAUAUGAGCGCACAAAGAAAUCGAGUUGGAUUGUAAAAAGAUAGAAAAAAAAAAUCGUUUUAAAAAUAUCCUUGCUUUAUAUUUUUCUUCUCCAAAGCGGGGAGUGCUUUGUGGUAAUCAAUGGCUUCGGUACCGAGGUCGGCAAGGCGCAAAGAUGCCACUCGAUGGCCGAGGAUGUCGUCAACUUUUUGGGUUGUGGUGCUCCUGACUGCGCUGUUGGUUCUCUACUGCGGCCAGCUGGCAGCGGGGACAUGUGAGAUUGUGACGUUGGACAGGGACAGCAGCCAACCGAGACGGACCAUCGCCAGGCAGACGGCUCGCUGCGCCUGUAAGAAGGGCCAGAUCGCCGGAACUACAAGAGCCAGACCCGCCUGCGUGGACGCUGGGAUUGUUCGAAAAAGGCAGUGGUGUGAGAUGGUGCCGUGUUUGGAGGAUGAAGGCUGUGACCUGUUAAUCAAUAAAUCUGGAUGGACUUGUACACAGCCUGGAGGCCGAGUCAAAACCACCACGGCUCUAUGACGCGACAAGAGUUUCCCUCAACACUCUUGCACUAUGGAGAGCAUUGAUGACCCCUUGACAGACAGCCAAAACCCACCCACCCACCAACACCACCACCACCAACACAACAGCAGAUCUACUCGUACCCUGGUGCCACAAAGGCAGGACAAGCAGUCACAGAGCACCAAGGGCCUCUUUGAGGCAGCAAGAUAAGUGUUGGAGAAGAGACCAAUAUGACAUUCAUAUAGAAGAUGAGAUUGAAGCAACCCUACUGUUUGAAAGAAAAAAAACAAGGUGUCUUAACACAGCCAGAGGUGCCAUUACACAGGAGUGACUGAAUGAGGGACUUUGCUCUCCCACGGAAUACCGGACAAACUCUCUAUUAAACACUUCCCGCCUCCUGUGACUCGCACUUCCGGGUUUCCGACUGCUCCAACCCGCCGUCUGUCACCGGGUCAGCGCCUUUUCUCCUCGUCACUGCAUCUGCCUGUUCAAUGAAAACUUUUAAGCCGCGGAGGACCAGACACCUUAAAAUACUUUUUUUUGUUCAUUGGAAAUCCACUUUUAAGGAGCCGCUUGCUGCAUUUAAAAAGGGAUUCCCCAACCUUCCCACCACCGCCACCUCUCCAAGUUGUUUCUGUAGUGCAGGAGUUUCCAGAGCACAGCUGGGAUCAUUACAGACCGAACGCUGUUGCUUCGGACCACUUGACGAGGCCAUAAAAACCAAACUCUGCGCUCUCUGCUGUGAAUAGGCCUUCUGCUGGAGUGAAACUCCUUUAUUUUUAUAGACCAAAGAGCAAAACAACAAAUAUGAUCAUUACGACAGAGGUGGCAAAAGACACAUAUUCCUCGUGGGGUUUCUACAAAAUCACUACAAGAACAAUCAAAUCAAAGUCCUUUUAAAACCUUCUGGACAUUGUUUUUUUUUCCUCUGACUGAAGCCCACAACUUGUAUUUUGGAACUGGAAAUAUAGGUACUGCAUACGUAUAACUAUGUAUCAAAAAAAAAAAAAAAAAAAACACAAAAUCAGAUUUGUGAUUUUUUUCAGUAGCUAUGGUUUUGGACAGAACUGUCACAGGAAUCACAUCAAAGGAAAUGCUAGAUACACGGACAGUAUGGAUGCCGUUGAUUCAGAACAGAAGGAGCUAAGAAUUGCCAUUAAAUGUAUUUUGAAAGGCCCUUAAAAGUUAUAUAUUUAACAAUUUUAUAUGUUGUACCUUUGUAGAGAAGCUUAUUGGACUUAAAUGUGGUCACAAUGGCAGUUUAGUAGAACGUGAACAAAUGCUGUUCUCAUUACUGCUGGCUCGUAGUCUAUGGUUUUCUGUUCACACCCCAGUAGCUGCUUUCUUUUUAUGGUCAUCUACAAGUCAGUCUUUUUAGAACCAUUAAUGACAAAAAAAGGAAAGUGACACAAUUUCUUGAGGACUGAUGUGCAGCAAACAGAACAUUGUAAAUCUAUGGUAGUCAGUGGAAGCCAUUGAAAUCUGCUAAUUUGCUAUGAUAUUGUAUUGUACACAAUGUGGAAUACUGAUUAAUUUCCUCUCUAUGGGUUUUGAUCUCUUAAUUUAUUUUGGUGCUUGUGUUCGUUCGCACAAAUCCAGCCUCUCUCUGUUGGUAAUCUGGACAAUGGAGGAAGCAGAGAGGAACAAUACGGAAAGGAAGCACUGCAAACAUAGUCAUAUAAAUACAUUUUUUAUCAUGAAAUAUUUUAAGAAUAAAUUAAAUACAUGGAAAAAUG